AACGAACGCUGGCGGCAUGCCUAACACAUGCAAGUCGAACGAGACCUUCGGGUCUAGUGGCGCACGGGUGCGUAACGCGUGGGAAUCUGCCCUGGGGUGCGGAAUAACUCGGAGAAAUCCGUGCUAAUACCGCAUAAUGUCUUCGGACCAAAGAUUUAUCGCCCUGGGAUGUGCCCGCGUAGGAUUAGCUAGUUGGUGGGUAAAGGCCUACCAAGGCGACGAUCCUUAGCUGGUCUGAGAGGAUGAUCAGCCACACUGGGACUGAGACACGGCCCAGACUCCUACGGGAGGCAGCAGUGGGGAAUAUUGGACAAUGGGCGAAAGCCUGAUCCAGCAAUGCCGCGUGAGUGAUGAAGGCCCUAGGGUUGUAAAGCUCUUUUACCCGGGAUGAUAAUGACAGUACCGGGAGAAUAAGCUCCGGCUAACUCCGUGCCAGCAGCCGCGGUAAU
This 449-nucleotide ribosomal RNA is filed under the name uncultured bacterium. Its description in RNAcentral is "bacterial SSU rRNA". It matches the Rfam family "Bacterial small subunit ribosomal RNA", at positions 29 to 524 of the family's 1533-position model. The record is from RNAcentral.